Molecule: ribosomal RNA, 492 nt
Filed under: uncultured bacterium
Lineage: Bacteria
Description: partial 16S ribosomal RNA
Rfam family: Bacterial small subunit ribosomal RNA
Source: RNAcentral
AGUGAACGCUGGCGGUAGGCCUAACACAUGCAAGUCGAACGGCAGCACAGUAAGAGCUUGCUCUUACGGGUGGCGAGUGGCGGACGGGUGAGGAAUACAUCGGAAUCUACUUUUUCGUGGGGGAUAACGUAGGGAAACUUACGCUAAUACCGCAUACGACCUACGGGUGAAAGCAGGGGAUCUUCGGACCUUGCGCGAUUGAAUGAGCCGAUGUCGGAUUAGCUAGUUGGCGGGGUAAAGGCCCACCAAGGCGACGAUCCGUAGCUGGUCUGAGAGGAUGAUCAGCGACACUGGAACUGAAACACGGUCCAGACGCCUACGGGAGGCAGCAGUGGGGAAUAUUGGACAAUGGGCGCAAGCCUGAUCCAGCCAUACCGCGUGGGUGAAGAAGGCCUUCGGGUUGUAAAGCCCUUUUGUUGGGAAAGAAAAGCAGCAGGUUAAUACCCCGCUGUUCUGACGGUACCCAAAGAAUAAGCACCGGCUAACUUCGUG